Long non-coding RNA from Nerophis ophidion (straightnose pipefish), 1666 nucleotides. RefSeq lists it as uncharacterized. Lineage: Eukaryota; Metazoa; Chordata; Actinopteri; Syngnathiformes; Syngnathidae. The record is from RefSeq and is a predicted model, not a curated record. The transcript is spliced from 3 exons.
GCGGGAACUUGUGACGUCACAGCUCGCUAAUGUUGGCCCGAGUUCCUAGUUCUUGUCUGAAAAGAACUGAACGCCUUGCGGUGCCGAUCGAUUGAAGUGAUCGAUCAGGAGCAUCGUGUGUGCGCACGUCAAAGGUCAAAAAGAAAAGAAAAAGGUGGACAUCAGUGAGGUGCGAGUGCAAAACCCGCUCAUAGAAAACAAAUCUGAGAAUGAGGCGCCAGGCGUGGAAGUGGUCCCACCAGGACGCCCGUUGGUGGUGACGCAGCCCUCGUCGGAGGACGCCACCACGGGCGUUCCCGAGGAGAACAAGGACGAUCCGAGCGAUCGACUCCUCACGGUAAACGGCAACUACGUGAUGCAGGAGAACGGGAAAGCCGAAGUCCUCUCCUGCCAGGAGUCCCAAAACGGGACUUUGAUGAGCAAAAUGUCUUUGUCGCCAUGACAACCACGUCAUUUAUGACCCUGACGCCGAUUAUUGAAGGCAAUUUUUGUCAUCUGAGUUAAGUUAAAGUACCCAUGAUUGUCACACACACACCAGGUGUGGCAAAUUCACCCUUGGUCACCCCCUCCCUGGGAGGUGAGGGGAGCAGUGAGCAGCAGCGGUGGCCGCGCCCGGGAAUGGUUUUUGGUGAUUUAACCCCCAAUUCCAACCCUUGAUGCUGAGUGUCAAGCAGGGAGGUAACGGGUCCCAUUUUUAUAGUCUUUGGUUGAUGUGAGAAAGUGAUGGCUAAUGCUAAUGCUAAAGCUAACUUGCUUGGUUUACUCGUCCUCACCAACAAGGUACAUGUACACUAUUCUAUUCUACUUGUAAAAAGUCAGUUUUGUUUGCUAAAAUACUUGACUAGGUGUUAUGUAUUGAAACUGUUUUGAUUAGAACAUGUUUGGCUUGAAGGAAAAUGUACACACUUAGAAGGUUAUUAUAUACAGUCGUGGUCAAAAGUUUACAUACACUUCCAGUUUCCAGUCAUUUCUACACCUCUUAUUUUGUUGUGACGGAGUGAUUGGAGCACAUACUUGUUGGUCACAAAAAAACAUUAAUGAAGUUUGGUUCUUUUAUGAACUUAUUAUGGGUCGACUGAAAAUGUGCUGGGUCAAAAGUAUACAUACAGCAAUGUUAAUAUUUGCUUACAUGUCCCUUGGCAAGUUUCACUGCAAAAAGGCGCUUUUGGUAGCAAUCCAUAAGCUUCUGCUUGAAUUUUGGACCACUCGUCUUGACAAAAUGUUGUGGAGUUCAGCUAAAUGUGUUGGUUUUCUGACAUGGACUUGUUUCUUCAGCAUUGUCCAGACGUUUAAGUCAGGACUUUGUGAAGGCCAUUCUAAAACCUUCAUUCUAGCCUGAUGUGGACGACUUUCCCUGUCGUCCUCGGGUUCCACUGACCACCCAGGAAGGACAUCUCACUUGAGCAGGUUGGACUCUUUUAUUUCUCAAUAAAGGCAGUCUUUUACGCUGUCGUCGCUCCCGCUGCUCGCUCCUCCGUGUCUCGCUCUCCAGUCCGCUCUUUAGUCUCUCGUGUCUUGCUCUCUCUUGCUUCUUGGUCGCUGUUGCCGUCUCUCCAACUCCUCCUUUGAUCCGUCCUCCUUCUCCCCUUUUAUACAUCAUAAGGAGAAAUGUUAAUUGUUUGCCGGUGCCUGAUCCACGCACCUGAAUUAGAUUGUGGCGGUGUCU